Molecule: ribosomal RNA, 324 nt
Filed under: uncultured eukaryote
Lineage: Eukaryota
Description: partial 18S ribosomal RNA
Rfam family: Eukaryotic small subunit ribosomal RNA
Source: RNAcentral
CCCUUAGAUGUCCUGGGCCGCACGCGCGUUACACUGAUGCAUUCAACGAGCUUAUAACCUUGGCCGAGAGGCCUGGGCAAUCUUGUUAACGUGCAUCGUGAUAGGGAUAGAUUAUUGAAAUUAUUAAUCUUGAACGAGGAAUUCCUAGUAAACGCAGAUCAUCAAUCUGCAUUGAUUACGUCCCUGCCCUUUGUACACACCGCCCGUCGCACCUACCGAUUGGAUGGUCCGGUGAGCUCUUCGGACUGCGCGGUCUGCAGUUUCUGCGUUCCGUGCGGAAAGUUGCGCAAACCUUAACAUUUAGAGGAAGGAGAAGUCGUAACA